This 721-nucleotide long non-coding RNA is filed under the name Manacus vitellinus (golden-collared manakin). Its description in RNAcentral is "lncRNA (ENSMVIG00005000388.1)". Lineage: Eukaryota; Metazoa; Chordata; Aves; Passeriformes; Pipridae. The record is from RNAcentral.
AAACCUCACUUUGUUUUGAAGAAAUCAAAGGCAGGCACGUCAAGGUUUGGAAAGACUUUCAACUGUGCUUUUCUCUCGCUGUGUCAUGGAAAAAGCAAGCCGGAUUUCUGCUGGAAUUCUGUGAUCUGGGUCUGAAAGUGCCUGUGAGACCCAGAGGAGCUGCUUCCUCCCAGGUGGUGAUGACCCCCCUGCAGAUGAUGCCUGGACGACCACACUUGGGGCUCCACCUCUUUGACCAUCCUAAGGUGAGGCCCAGCUUGCAGGGAACAUGGGCUGGAUGUGCUGACUCUGAUGGGAUGUGCUGACUCUGACCCACCCCUCUGUGUGUGGGUAACCCCAUAAACUUCACAGUCUGGAAGGAACAUGGAUCUGGAGGAGACCCCGGCCCAGGUCCUGGUGAUGAUGUGACUGCUGGAAACAUGUCUCCUAAAGAAGCAGAGAGAGGAAACAAAACCUUUCUUCUGCUCAUCUGCUUUGCUUCCUGGAAAUCUUUUCCAAGCAGCUCUGCCCUUGCUGCAGCCCUGUCUUGGAGGCUUUCCAGCAGCUCUGAGAAGAAGCCUGGUCCAAGGUCAUCAAGACCGAGUUGGAGCUGUGUGACUCUGCUUUCCUUGUUGCCCCAAAAUAGGUGGCACCUCAGCUCGUGGCUGAGCAUCCCUGGUCCAUCGUGUCCUCCUGCCACUGACGCAGACGGGUCCAAGCCGAGCGCGCAGAGGGAGCCCGG